GAUGAACGCUGGCGGCGCGCCUAACACAUGCAAGUCGAACGAUUAAAGCACCUUCGGGUGUGUAUAAAGUGGCGAACGGCUGAGUAACACGUGGGCAACCUGCCCCUUUCAUUGGGAUAGCCACGGGAAACCGUGGAUAAUACCGAAUACUUCGAGACUUCCGCAUGGAAGACUCGAGAAAGCUCCGGCGGAGAGGGAUGGGCCCGCGGCCUGUUAGCUUGUUGGUGGGGUAACGGCCUACCAAGGCAAUGAUGGGUAGCUGGGUUGAGAGACCGACCAGCCAGAUUGGGACUGAGACACGGCCCAGACUCCUACGGGAGGCAGCAGUGGGGAAUCUUGCACAAUGGGCGAAAGCCUGAUGCAGCGACGCCGCGUGCGGGAUGAAGGCCCUCGGGUUGUAAACCGCUUUCAGCAGGGACGAGGCGAAAGUGACGGUACCUGCAGAAGAAGCCCCGGCUAACUACGUG
RNAcentral lists this ribosomal RNA (467 nucleotides) under uncultured bacterium. Its description in RNAcentral is "partial 16S ribosomal RNA". It matches the Rfam family "Bacterial small subunit ribosomal RNA", at positions 28 to 507 of the family's 1533-position model. The record is from RNAcentral.